Molecule: non-coding RNA, 24 nt
Filed under: Arabidopsis thaliana (thale cress)
Lineage: Eukaryota; Viridiplantae; Streptophyta; Magnoliopsida; Brassicales; Brassicaceae
Source: RNAcentral
AUCCACAGUGCUAAAUCUGUAGGC